AGAGUUGAUCAUGGCUCAGAACGAACGCUGGCGGCGCGUUUAAGCAUGCAAGUCGAGCGGCAAGGGCCUUCGGGCCCCUAGAGCGGCGGACGGGUGAGUAACACGUGGACAAUCUGCCCCCCGGCCCGGGAUAGCCCAGGGAAACCUGGAUUAAUACCGGAUGAGACGGGACCCGCGAUGGCGGGACCCGGGAAAGGCGCUGCGGCGCCGCCGGGGGAUGAGUCUGCGUCCCAUUAGCUAGACGGCGGGGUAACGGCCCACCGUGGCGACGAUGGGUAGCCGGCCUGAGAGGGUGGACGGCCACAUUGGAACUGAGACACGGUCCAGACUCCUACGGGAGGCAGCAGCUAAGAAUCUUCCGCAAUGGGCGAAAGCCUGACGGAAGCGACGCCGCGUGAACGAAGAAGGCCGUGAGGUUGUAAAGUUCUUUUCGGGAGGGGGAACAACCGUGGCAGGGAAUGGCCGCGGGAUGACGUGAAUCCCGGAAUAAGCCCCGGCUAACUACGUGCCAGCCGCCGC
This 519-nucleotide ribosomal RNA is filed under the name uncultured bacterium. Its description in RNAcentral is "bacterial SSU rRNA". It matches the Rfam family "Bacterial small subunit ribosomal RNA", at positions 8 to 518 of the family's 1533-position model. The record is from RNAcentral.